CCCUUAAAUGUUCUGGGCUGCACGCGUAUUACAAUGUUAAUUUUCGACAAGUUUUUUGAUUUUUUUUAAUUUUUUUUUUAGAAAAAAUUAUAUCCUUUUCUAUUUGCUUUUUUAUUUUAAAAAGUUUUAAAAGAAUGGGAAAUCUUUUGAAUAGUUAACGUAUCAGGGAUAGAAGUUUGAAACUUCUUCUUUAACUAGGAAUUCCUAGUAGAUUCAAAUCAUUAAUUUGAAUCGAUUACGUCCCUGCUCUUUGUACACACCGCCCGUCGCUCCUACCGGUGGAAUGAAAAGGUGAAUUUUUUGGACUUUUUUUUUUCUUUUGAAAAUUUUUUAGGAAAAAAUUUAAACCUUUUUGUUUGUAGGAAGGAAAAGUCGUAACA
RNAcentral lists this ribosomal RNA (380 nucleotides) under uncultured eukaryote. RNAcentral's name for it is "partial 18S ribosomal RNA". It matches the Rfam family "Eukaryotic small subunit ribosomal RNA", at positions 1470 to 1796 of the family's 1831-position model. The record is from RNAcentral.